AGGUACAUUGGUCAAGGUUUCAUGAUUACCUUUUCUAUUGGUAUUUAUGGAUUGAUAACAAGUCGGAAUAUGGUUAGAGCCCUUAUGUGUCUU
This 93-nucleotide transfer RNA is filed under the name Oreocharis chienii. RNAcentral describes it as "tRNA-Arg". Lineage: Eukaryota; Viridiplantae; Streptophyta; Magnoliopsida; Lamiales; Gesneriaceae. The record is from RNAcentral.